GUGGGGAAUAUUGCACAAUGGGCGAAAGCCUGAUGCAGCAACGCCGCGUGAGUGAUGAAGGCCUUCGGGUUGUAAAGCUCUGUCUUCUGGGACGAUAAUGACGGUACCAGAGGAGGAAGCCACGGCUAACUACGUGCCAGCAGCCGCGGUAAUACGUAGGUGGCAAGCGUUGUCCGGAUUUACUGGGCGUAAAGGAUGCGUAGGCGGAUACUUAAGUCAGAUGUGAAAAUCCCGGGCUUAACUUGGGAACUGCAUUUGAAACUGGGUAUCUAGAGUGCGGGAGAGGAAAGUGGAAUUCCUAGUGUAGCGGUGAAAUGCGUAGAGAUUAGGAAGAACACCGGUGGCGAAGGCGACUUUCUGGACCGUAACUGACGCUGAGGCAUGAAAGCGUGGGGA
RNAcentral lists this ribosomal RNA (396 nucleotides) under uncultured bacterium. RNAcentral's name for it is "bacterial SSU rRNA". It matches the Rfam family "Bacterial small subunit ribosomal RNA", at positions 354 to 767 of the family's 1533-position model. The record is from RNAcentral.